Long non-coding RNA from Hyla sarda, 363 nucleotides. RefSeq lists it as uncharacterized. The record is from RefSeq and is a predicted model, not a curated record. The transcript has 3 exons. Lineage: Eukaryota; Metazoa; Chordata; Amphibia; Anura; Hylidae.
AAGAAACAGUUCGAUUCACUGUGGAUCGAAUACCCUUCAAUUGCCACUCUCUAUCUUCUGCCAAAAGUCCACAAAGAUGCCCGGACCCCACCAGAUACCUCGGACGCCUUGAGGCGUAUGGAAAAUAUCCAUCUCGAUGAUGAUAUGCUAAUUGUGACAUGUGAUGUCGAAUCUUUAUAUACGUCAAUACAUCAUGAUGAUGGAAUCAGAGCCACACAACUUUUCCUGGGAAUGUCGGAUGUGGAUAGACUAUUGGGCCAUUGACCUUUCCGAAAGAUUUCGGGAGAGAGGAUAUAAAGAACAAUGGAUCAGAAGAGCCUAUCUAAGAGCUAAGCACGCGAAAAGGGAAGAUCUUAUGCAGCG